RNAcentral lists this ribosomal RNA (465 nucleotides) under uncultured Klebsiella sp. Its description in RNAcentral is "bacterial SSU rRNA". It matches the Rfam family "Bacterial small subunit ribosomal RNA", at positions 338 to 795 of the family's 1533-position model. The record is from RNAcentral. Lineage: Bacteria; Pseudomonadati; Pseudomonadota; Gammaproteobacteria; Enterobacterales; Enterobacteriaceae.
CCUACGGGCGGCAGCAGUGGGGAAUAUUGCACAAUGGGCGCAAGCCUGAUGCAGCCAUGCCGCGUGUGUGAAGAAGGCCUUCGGGUUGUAAAGCACUUUCAGCGGGGAGGAAGGCGUUAAGGUUAAUAACCUUGGCGAUUGACGUUACCCGCAGAAGAAGCACCGGCUAACUCCGUGCCAGCAGCCGCGGUAAUACGGAGGGUGCAAGCGUUAAUCGGAAUUACUGGGCGUAAAGCGCACGCAGGCGGUCUGUCAAGUCGGAUGUGAAAUCCCCAGGCUCAACCUGGGAACUGCAUUCGAAACUGGCAGGCUAGAGUCUUGUAGAGGGGGGUAGAAUUCCAGGUGUAGCGGUGAAAUGCGUAGAGAUCUGGAGGAAUACCGGUGGCGAAGGCGGCCCCCUGGACAAAGACUGACGCUCAGGUGCGAAAGCGUGGGGAGCAAACAGGAUUAGAUACCCUAGUAGUC